Molecule: long non-coding RNA, 824 nt
Organism: Meriones unguiculatus (Mongolian gerbil)
Lineage: Eukaryota; Metazoa; Chordata; Mammalia; Rodentia; Muridae
Exons: 3
Source: RefSeq, a predicted model, not a curated record
GAUUUUCUUGGGUGGAGCUGAUAUUGUUUUGUUGACUUUGAAGUUCUUUUUGUAUGUCCUACAUGAAGAAACGAUGCUGUGAAUAUGCUAUGAGGGGUACUCAUCCUGUUCAAAAGAAACGUGAUGCUGAACCCACGAAAUCUUAUGUACAGUGACAAUGCCAGUUGACAUCUCAGCAUGGGUGGAAGGACUCUCUAGACAAAGAGCUUUGGGAAGUCCAUGGCUGCUAAGAGGAGGAGAAUCAAUCUUCUCUGGGGACCGGCUCUGCCAGGCUAGUCAGCCUCAGGUGCUCAGCCUUAAAUGUUUGAAUGUGUUGAGUGAAAAUUAUCCCCGUCUGUUGGAAGACUUGGUGGCCAGUAGGUGGCACUGUUUGAAAGACCACAGAAGCUUUGGCGGGUGAAGAUUUGCUGGAGGAAAUCUUUCCAGGGGGUUGGCUUUGAGGGCUCAUCCCCUAGCCCCACUUCCAGAUGCUAGGGACAGCCAGCUUCACACGCCUGCGGGCACGCUGUCCCUGCUAUGAUGGGCUGUAUCCUUCCUGGAACUGUAAGCUUAAAUAAACUCUCUCUCCAAAGCAGAUUCUGUCAGGGCGUUUUUAUCACAGCCACGGAAAAGCAACGAACACAAGCCCCAACUAAGAAACAAUUCUUUUAAAUGCUUAACUAGAGCCUAAUCCAUGCUUCAAAUCAACAGCUGACGUUAGGUGACUUGUUAUAUUCAUCGUGUCUUUGAAAGGCAGAAUGGACUCAGGAAUACCCACUUCCUCUCCUACUUUAUGUCAUGAUGCACCCCCACCCCACAUGCACACACCGUCAGUUACCUCAAAU